GUUAACAUGUAAUGCUAUAAUAAUUCAUGUUCCAAUUUGUACACCACUUUAAUAUUAUUUGCCAAGACUAAUUCUCAAUCUCGUUUUGUGCAUUGGAAAAGAACCAACAGAGCGAAAAGCUUAUCAUGAGCACAAACCCUUAGGCACUCUUCUUUACUCGAUGGAUCGCUUCUGAUCGUUUUCGGUAAAAUCAGUUUUAAAUAUUUUUUGCUCCACUCUCUCUCUCUUGAGUUCCAAGAUGAUGAGCGCCUACCUGAUAUUUGCAUAUUGCGCUUCUAAUUUCUGCAUAGGGAAUGCUGGGUUAGUAGCUGCUAUUGAACGUUAAACCUAUAGAAAUUCUUUGUUCAAAUUUAUUGCGCAGUAGAGUUUUAAACAAUGACUAGGGCGAUGAGUCCUCUGAAAGAAGAACAUCACUUGAGUCUUGAUCUACGAUCAGUGCGGAUGUGCCUAACUGAAAGUUAAUACGACGCUAGUGGAAGUUAUUAAGAAUUCGAUAGUGAUAAUUUGAGAACGUUAUUAAUCCGGAAGUGCGAAGAUUACACAAAUUAAGAAUCGAAUAGUGAGCCUUCCGAGAUUGUUAUCACACCUGAUUGUGUGCUGUAAUUAAUUUACUGUGGUAAAUUUUGAGGAAUAACCCUACAACGUGGGGUUUUUGUUUGGGCUCGGACCAUUGACAACCGCCAACUGUCGUCGACCACGUGCAACUAGUCCAGGCGUAUCCCGAUGCGCCGCUGCGGUGGCUCGUGAGUACUCACUGCAGUGUCGUUCUAUCCCAGAAUCCGACCGAGUGCUAGAACGCAACCAAACUGCUCGAUAUCCGCCGAGGACUCAAUUUUGAAUUUCGGUGUCAAGCCAAAACGAUCACCGACCAGCACCCGACGUCCCUACAGUGGUGCUAGGCGUCGUCAUCCCGAGGCGCAAGAGAGCUUUGGACACGCGUCGUGAGAGUACUUUGCGGUCGCUGGACAAAUCCAACCAAACGAAAGUGGUAAGUUGCACCCAACUACGUUGGUCGAAUCACCCCUCGGUCACGCGGAGAGCCUGAGCACGAGAGCGAAGAGCAUCGAGGUGAAGCCACGUCGGGGCCCCGAUCAACGCGUCGUUGGAACCUGCCGGCAAGUACUUGCAUGCAUGAAGAGAGAAGAGUAGCUUUAAGAUAGGUAGCCUAGGGAGAUCGAUUGUGCAAGGAAUAUUGGAACAAUAAAGCUAUUUUUAAACCUUGCACUGGUUCCUACAUAGGCACAGCUAGGCGAUAUUUUGCGCUGAUUUGAAAUCUCUACUGAAGUGAUUUGAAAUCGGUUUUUUUUUCGUAACUUUUAGCUCCAUAUUUUAUGAAUUGAGGGGGCCAAAGGCCAAAGAGUUUUUUGAGGUUUACACGGGAGGGAUUCGAAAGGUAAGUCGAGUCGUCAUUUGGUAGCCAAGAAUAGCUGGUGUGUUUGAGCAACUAUUAAAACUCGCCCUAGAAGAGGGUCUCAAAGCCGGGACCCAAACAGCAUCAGCAGCCUUCCUCGUUGGGGAAGUGGCGCUUAAGCUGCUGUUUGUGAUAAGCUCGAGCAGAUUCGUUACAUUUUGGC
Aedes albopictus (Asian tiger mosquito) is the source of this 1574-nucleotide long non-coding RNA. RefSeq lists it as uncharacterized. The record is from RefSeq and is a predicted model, not a curated record. NCBI's taxonomy places the organism in Eukaryota, Metazoa, Arthropoda, Insecta, Diptera, Culicidae. The transcript has 3 exons.